RNAcentral lists this ribosomal RNA (198 nucleotides) under uncultured bacterium. RNAcentral's name for it is "partial 16S ribosomal RNA". It matches the Rfam family "Bacterial small subunit ribosomal RNA", at positions 328 to 539 of the family's 1533-position model. The record is from RNAcentral.
ACGCUCGACACCUACGGGAGGUAGCAGUGGGGAAUAUUGCACAAUGGGGGAAACCCUGAUGCAGCAACGCCGCGUGAAGGAAGACGGUUUUCGGAUUGUAAACUUCUGUUCUUAGUGAAGAUAGUGACGGUAGCUAAGGAGCAAGCCACGGCUAACUACGUGGCAGCAGCCGCGGUAAUCUGAGCGGGCUGGCAAGGC